UAGUGGCGCACGGGUGAGUAACGCGUGGGGACCUACCAUAUAGUACGGAACAACAGUUGGAAACGACUGCUAAUACCGUAUGUGCCCUUAGGGGGAAAGAUUUAUCGCUAUAUGAUGGACCCGCGUUGGAUUAGGUAGUUGGUGAGGUAAUGGCUCACCAAGCCUACGAUCCAUAGCUGGUUUGAGAAGAUGACCAGCCACAUUGGGACUGAGACACGGCCCAAACUCC
Molecule: ribosomal RNA, 229 nt
Filed under: uncultured bacterium
Lineage: Bacteria
Description: partial 16S ribosomal RNA
Rfam family: Bacterial small subunit ribosomal RNA
Source: RNAcentral